CGGGGUGCACCAGGCGCGAAAACUUUACAAUGCGGGAAACCGUGAUAAGGGGACACCGAGUGCCAGCAUUAUAUGCUGGCUGUCCGGGUGUGUAAAAUACACCCGUUAGCAAGGGCCGGGCAAGACCGGUGCCAGCCGCCGCGGUAACACCGGCGGCCCGAGUGGUGAUCGUGAUUAUUGGGUCUAAAGGGUCCGUAGCCGGUUUGGUCAGUCCUCCGGGAAAUCUGACGGCUCAACCGUUAGGCUUUCGGGGGAUACUGCCAGGCUUGGAACCGGGAGAGGUAAGAGGUACUACAGGGGUAGGAGUGAAAUCUUGUAAUCCCUGUGAGACCACCUGUGGCGAAGGCGUCUUACCAGAACGGGUUCGACGGCGAGGGACGAAAGCUGGGGGCACGAACCGGAUUAGAUACCCGGGUAGUCCCAGCCGUAAACGAUGCUCGCUAGGUGUCAGGCAUGGCGCGACCGUGUCUGGUGCCGCAGGGAAGCCGUGAAGCGAGCCACCUGGGAAGUACGGCCGCAAGGCUGAAACUUAAAGGAAUUGGCGGGGGAGCAC
This 553-nucleotide ribosomal RNA is filed under the name uncultured archaeon. RNAcentral's name for it is "bacterial SSU rRNA". It matches the Rfam family "Archaeal small subunit ribosomal RNA", at positions 326 to 879 of the family's 1478-position model. The record is from RNAcentral.